Alligator mississippiensis (American alligator) is the source of this 954-nucleotide long non-coding RNA. RefSeq lists it as uncharacterized. The transcript has 3 exons. NCBI's taxonomy places the organism in Eukaryota, Metazoa, Chordata, Crocodylia, Alligatoridae. The record is from RefSeq and is a predicted model, not a curated record.
UGCCUUUUCCGGCCCCCCCCAUGGGUUUCCCUGCAGCUGAGAACCAGGCCGGGCAGGAGGGGCAGGGCUGAGCUGCACAUUUCCUGCAUGAAGCAGCGGUGACCAAGCAGAGCCCGCUGAGACAGGAGGGCUGCUUGUGGGGGGUGGUUAAUAAAAGCCGUUUCCCAGAGCAGCUUGCAAGCCAAUACCCCAGCUGCAAAGCAAGAGCCCCCCGCCGCCUCCGGGAGGCCAAGAAGCCCGAUCAACACAAGAAGCAUAGAGUAAAAGCAGUAACUUGCAGGGAGAAAAACCCAUUGGGAAGAUGUGCGGAUGGACCCCGAGAGAGUCCAGGCAACAAGACAAGACUCACAAGUAAAGGAGAGCACAGCGGUUUCUAAGAUGGGCUCUGCUGAAGUACAGAACAUUGCCUUGGUAAGAAGGGUUCUCACCACCACAACUGUUGUUCAACAGAGAAACAGAAUUGAACUACCGGAGCAGAGACAGGGUGCGUGCAAAUGAUCAAAAUCUCUAGAGGCUACGAAGAAGAAAUGAACAGAAGGGGUACUACGACACAGAGAUGCAUGACUUGCCACUUUUGCAGUCACAUGAUAAUGUACAAAUCUAUGAUGGCAAAACAUGUGCACAAGAGGCAAUAGUCUCAGAAGAGGUGACUGCUUGUUCAUAGGAGGUCACUGGAGACAUACUUAAGAGAACCAGAAUUGCUAGAACAUCUUCCAUCGAAUAAGAAGAAAAGAGAGCAGAGUACAGAAGCUCCAGGACCUUAAACCAAACAAGCUGCAGUGACAGUAGUCAAAUUCAGCUGCAAACACUGAACUUCAGCUAGCACUAAGGCGGUGUAUAAACAUUAAAAAACCUACCCUGAGACUAACUGAGAGCUGCUGAAGCUAGAAUAGUAAGAAUGUAAAUAAAUGUUCUUUUGUAUUACAAAAAUGGUGCCUGAAUCUUUAUCUUUGU